Molecule: ribosomal RNA, 497 nt
Filed under: uncultured bacterium
Lineage: Bacteria
Description: partial 16S ribosomal RNA
Rfam family: Bacterial small subunit ribosomal RNA
Source: RNAcentral
GAUGAACGCUGGCGGCGUGCCUAAUACAUGCAAGUCGAGCGAACGGACGAGAAGCUAGCUUCUCUGAUGUUAGCGGCGGACGGGUGAGUAACACGUGGAUAACCUACCUAUAAGACUGGGAUAACUUCGGGAAACCGGAGCUAAUACCGGAUAAUAUUUUGAACCGCAUGGUUCAAAAGUGAAAGACGGUCUUGCUGUCACUUAUAGAUGGAUCCGCGCUGCAUUAGCUAGUUGGUAAGGUAACGGCUUACCAAGGCAACGAUGCAUAGCCGACCUGAGAGGGUGAUCGGCCACACUGGAACUGAGACACGGUCCAGACUCCUACGGGAAGCAGCAGUAGGGAAUCUUCCGCAAUGGGCGAAAGCCUGACGGAGCAACGCCGCGUGAGUGAUGAAGGUCUUCGGAUCGUAAAACUCUGUUAUUAGGGAAGAACAUAUGUGCAAGUAACUGUGCACAUCUUGACGGUACCUAAUCAGAAAGCCACGGCUAACUACGUG